GAACACCCCCCACCCCUCAUCUCGUCUCCCUCCACUCCUCAAACUCAAAGAAAUCACCAUGAACCCUAAUCCAAGCCGCCACAAAACCCCACCGCCUGAGGGUGGCGGCGCCACCUCCAAUCCCGCCCAAAAACACACCUAAAUCUCCUCGACUCCCUUAGCCCAUAUCUGAAAUCAUUGGCCUUCGAAUAUCAACCAAAAGUCUCGAAUUUUAGAUCGAAGUUCUGGGCCAAAGCACAAACUCACCCAAAUCCGACCAAAGUAACACCAAAUCAUAUUCUCUCUUCCUUCAUCGCAAAUUUCUACGUGGUUUCUGUCAAAUAUCACCGGAACUCGUUGAAUCGUGAAUCAAGGGCUGUUGAAAUUCAAGUCUGUUUGAAGGUUCAUUAGCUCGAUUGACUUUGAGCUAAUGUUACAUGUUAAUUUUAGACAAAACGAACACGCAACAUUAACUCGAAGCCAAGUUCGAGGCCAGUCAAGCCACGAGGGUGUCGAAAAUCAGUGAGUUCCAUUCAUUUUAUUUAUUUUUUCCUAUUCAUUAUUUUUAGUAGUUUAUUUUUGUGACUUUGUUUUCAGUUAAUAGGAAUUCUAUGUGCUUUUGAUUAAAUAUUAGAUUAGUUAGAUGAACUUCUGUUUAAGUUUCUGUUUGGAUUAAUCAUUUAGUAUAAUUGGGUCGCUUUGACAUUUGAAUCAAGUGUCUUGCAUAGCUAGGUUAGUUGAUCGACAAUUUAGUCUAGGUAUCUUUUAAAUUGAAUAAUUUUGCUUCUAGAUUUGUUGUUCUGAUUGAAUCUUGUUCGCAUCACUAUGUUCUAAUAGUUGUUUGAAUCGACGAUUAGUUGAUUUCCAGCUCAGUAGUUAUUCAGUUAGUUAGGUUCAUGGUUGAUUACAGUAGAUUGUUUUUAUAACAAUGAGUUAGUAAUUUCAGGGGGCUUUCAAGGGUAGUUUAGGCAUAGAAUAGGGUAAUUUUAUUAGGUUUGGUAAUUUCAAAACAUGGGUAAGGGUAGUAUAGGCACUGUAUAGCUAAAAGAACCUUCCAAGGCAUUCCAAAUGGGGCUUUAGUGUAAGUUUUAAUAAUUCUGGUAGUAGUUACUUGGUAAACAAGUUAGAAAUAGGAGGGUUAAAAUAAAAAUAGGUAGGGACUUAUAGUGCAAAUAGAAGAUUAGAGGGCUGCCCUCUUUUGGCUUAUAAAAUGGCAUUUCCAUGCCUUUAUUCACAAGUUUUGGCAGCCUGAAAAUUCCCCAAAAAAAUACUUCCCAAAGCUUCCAGAUCUGGAGUGAAAACUUCAGAUCUGAAAUUUUCUUAGACUUUUAACUUCUUCAAAAGAAAAACAACAAAAAACUUCAAAAAUCAAAAGAGGCCACUAUUUCAUUUGGAAUUGUAGGAUAAUUUGGAUGUUCUAUUCAUGGAUGCACCUCUCUUAGUUCUGUCAUUGAUUGCGGAAAGUUUAGAGAUCCAUUAGUUGUGUUUCGAGUAAGAUUACUGAGGUUCAAGGGGGUUUACUGUUCAGCUGCAAUUUUCUCUCAUUUUGGGUCCAAGUUCAAGUUAAUCUGAGUGCGUUCAAGUGUGUUGUUCGAGUUACUGUUUCUAUUUGAUUUCAAAUUUCUCCUGAAUUAUCAAGUUCAACCUCUGGACUAUACUUGAUUUCUGGACUGUUGCCGCUGAUCUAUCAAUUUUCUAUUUUGUGUCGAAUUUUAGGUACAUGUUUCAGCCCGCUCAGUAUAAUAUCUCCUGUGGAAUGGAAAUGUAUUAGGUUUCUUAGAAAAGGUUUAUAUUUUGGCAUAUUCAUCUCUGUGAUCCAAUGUUAAUUGAAUAACGUUGACUUAACUGUAAUCAUUGGCUAAUACAAUCAGUGUCAAUUGGAUUUAAUUGUUGAAAGCCAUUACUUAAAGUGAGUUUGACAUUCAAUGAGUUUGUGCAUUUUGGUAUAAUAGUUAAGAGGCAUUGGAAAUUGGACCUUUGUGUCUGUACUGGAUUCGAUCCCAAACCUUGGCAUCACAGCCACCUGAUUUGCUCAGUACUCCCAUUGGGCCAUCUGUUUUCAUUUGGGCCCCUACCAGUGCAUUUCGUGUUUUAUAGAAUUUUGUUGCUUCUCGUUGCUUGGAUACGAUGCCCACUGUUCGGGAUUGCUGGAACUUAAACAAUUGGCCUGUCGCAGGUGUAUUGUGAAAAAAUUCAGUUUUUAUUAAAGGUGACGUGGCAUGACACGUGGAUUGGUCUAACAGUCAAAGAGCAAUAAAUGAUUAAAAUGCACGGAAGACAACAUGCACGGUAGAAGAAAAGAAAACAGGCACGAGAAGGAAUCUUAGAUACGAUUCUCAUGUCUAUCCAAGACAUUCAAUAUCAACGGAUAAAAAGUGCAUUGAAGACACGAAUCUAAUGACAAAAUGUAGUCUACAUUCAUUAUUAAAUACCUGAUACGUUAGUUAUUCAGUGUUAAAUAGCAAUGAUUAUGUAACGUCUCAUUAAAUGCUCUUUAUUAUUUAGAAUAAUCCGUUACUCCUUGUCAACUAUAAAAGGAGGAAGUUUUAUCAUUUGUAGACACAGAACUCUCUUGAGAUCAUAGUGAAAUACAACUUUCUUAUUGCUUUAUUCGUAUUCUUUGAAAGCCAAUUAUAUUUCGGUCUCUU
This 2627-nucleotide long non-coding RNA is filed under the name Nicotiana benthamiana. Its description in RNAcentral is "long non-coding RNA (NBEN_LNC010156)". The record is from RNAcentral. Lineage: Eukaryota; Viridiplantae; Streptophyta; Magnoliopsida; Solanales; Solanaceae.